AUUUGACUGGAAUUCCUGCCAAGUCAUACUUUAAUAAAUAAUCCUGUUUGGUUUAUAUUGAACUGAUAAAUUGGAUCACGACUAGAUCCCUGUAUUGAUUUCACACUGGACACAGCUCCCACAAUGUUCAGCCAAUAACGUUGUGCCAUUGAUUUUUCCGUAGGGGCUGGGCACCAUUGAUUUUCCAACGGAUUGGGCACUGCCUUGGAAAUCUACUUACAGAGUAUUGUGAAUCCUUGGUCCAUUCUUAAAUUGGGGCUAAAGAAUAGGCCAUCACCUUCCAUAUUCAAU
Pelobates cultripes (western spadefoot toad) is the source of this 291-nucleotide non-coding RNA. The record is from the annotation of a GenBank genome assembly. NCBI's taxonomy places the organism in Eukaryota, Metazoa, Chordata, Amphibia, Anura, Pelobatidae.